UGGCUGAUUUACUUGAGCCAUAGAAGUAACUGUAACUGUCGCCAAUCAGCGUACUGAACAACAGGUUCGGAUCAGGGCGUCCACCA
Klebsiella pneumoniae subsp. pneumoniae is the source of this 86-nucleotide non-coding RNA. Lineage: Bacteria; Pseudomonadati; Pseudomonadota; Gammaproteobacteria; Enterobacterales; Enterobacteriaceae. The record is from Rfam.